GCGUUGGUGGUUCAGCGGUAGAAUUCUUGCUUUCCAUGUAGGAGACCCGGGUUCAAUUCCUGGCCAACGCA
RNAcentral lists this transfer RNA (71 nucleotides) under Loxodonta africana (African savanna elephant). RNAcentral's name for it is "tRNA-Gly (TCC) (tRNA-Gly-TCC-28-1)". It matches the Rfam family "tRNA". From Rfam's summary of the family: Transfer RNA (tRNA) molecules are approximately 80 nucleotides in length. Their secondary structure includes four short double-helical elements and three loops (D, anti-codon, and T loops). The record is from Rfam by way of RNAcentral. Lineage: Eukaryota; Metazoa; Chordata; Mammalia; Proboscidea; Elephantidae.